This 450-nucleotide ribosomal RNA is filed under the name uncultured bacterium. Its description in RNAcentral is "partial 16S ribosomal RNA". It matches the Rfam family "Bacterial small subunit ribosomal RNA", at positions 354 to 796 of the family's 1533-position model. The record is from RNAcentral.
GUGGGGAAUUUUGGACAAUGGGCGCAAGCCUGAUCCAGCAAUGCCGCGUGCAGGAAGAAGGCCUUCGGGUUGUAAACUGCUUUUGUACGGAACGAAACGGUCCUGGUUAAUACCUGGGGCUAAUGACGGUACCGUAAGAAUAAGCACCGGCUAACUACGUGCCAGCAGCCGCGGUAAUACGUAGGGUGCAAGCGUUAAUCGGAAUUACUGGGCGUAAAGCGUGCGCAGGCGGUUUUGUAAGACAGUCGUGAAAUCCCCGGGCUCAACCUGGGAAUUGCGCUUGUGACUGCAAGGCUGGAGUGCGGCAGAGGGGGAUGGAAUUCCGCGUGUAGCAGUGAAAUGCGUAGAUAUGCGGAGGAACACCGAUGGCGAAGGCAAUCCCCUGGGCCUGCACUGACGCUCAUGCACGAAAGCGUGGGGAGCAAACAGGAUUAGAUACCCGAGUAGUCC